Numida meleagris (helmeted guineafowl) is the source of this 5636-nucleotide long non-coding RNA. RefSeq lists it as uncharacterized. The transcript is spliced from 7 exons. Lineage: Eukaryota; Metazoa; Chordata; Aves; Galliformes; Numididae. The record is from RefSeq and is a predicted model, not a curated record.
GGGCAGAGCCGCCGCCAUGACGGCGCGGCGCGGGGCGGGGCCGCAGGGCGUGCCUGCUUUAUGCUGGCAGGACCUUUGCGUGACCCAGCGUUAAGUGGAGGUACAAAUUAGGUCUUCGUUGCGGUGUUGCUGUUUAGCCGCGAGGUACUAAGCCGUGCGGUGUUGAGAAGUUACGAGAGGGUUUGUACGUACCUAGACAGAUUAUUAAACUAGAGAAGACCAGACUGAAACUUAUGUAGAAGAAAAACAGCCCAUCGUAUGAGCUUUUCCUUCUCAUGAGAUAAAGGAAAAGAAGGGAGUUCUCAUCCUAACCAGAAGAGGAGGUGUCUGCUUUCUCUGCCGUCUUUUUGUUCCCUUAAUGAAAACAGCAAGCAGUAGUUACACAACUUCCCAUAUUUUUUUGAUAUUUAAAAACUCUGUCUUUUCUGCUUCCCUUUGGUAAGUUUCUGAGAGUUUGUAGGUGUUUGUUCUCUCAGCAUCUGGAUGGAGUUAGCUUCCAACCAAAAAACAACUGUAAGACCUUGCUCACCAAAAUUCCCUGUGGGACCUUUAAACAAGAAUUCCAAACUGCAAACUAUCCUUUUCUUAUCAAGAGAACUUCAGCUAGUAAGAGUGACUGAUAAACAUAGUCAGUCAGCUGAUAAUGAUACCUGCUACAGAAAGGCGGAAGCCUAUGAUUUAUAGAGUGAAUUUUAAAUAUCAUUAUGGGAACAUUCAGCUAUAUGUUGUUCUUGUAAGCUCCUUUUCUCUCACUAUAAUGAAUUUGCCCUUUUGAAUUUUUAAAUCAGUAGUCUUACAAAAUGCUUUUGUAAAAAGUUUUUAUCUCUCUUGAGAAUAAUAAUGCUCCUUAGGAACGUGUCUAACACAAGAUAUGUCACUUGUAUAUGGCUUAUAAAGCUUUUUCAAGGAAACUUAAUUUCAUAGUUAGCCUGAGAUGCAACAGUGUUUAUCAUUAACUGGAAAGAAUCUUUAUUCUAAUCAAUGAUUUGAGCCUAGAUGUUUCUGUAAAUUUAAAUAGUUCAUAAAUUAUUGUGGUUUUUCCUUGCUAAUUUCUAGAACCUGAUUUACCACCAUACAAAUGCAGUGAAUCCUAAAGCACAAGUUCAAUAUUCAAUACAUUUUUACUGUAAAAUUGUAGUUCCUGAUACAAUGAGAAAGUCUAUUUUUCCCCUGUCAAGUUAUGAAUUAAUGGUAUGGUUACAGCCUAACGUACACAGACUCAAAGAGAAAAUUACCUCCCACUGAAGAAGAACACUUCUUCUGCCUGGUGAUAUUUCUGUAGUUGCAUUAUAUGAUAUUCUUGGCUUGUUCAUGAGCUCUGGUAAACAUGGGAAAAGAUAGAGACAUGCACUCAUAGAAAUCAGGUUGAUCUUAAUGUUUUCAACAGUAUUUGACAAUGUUCAUACAUUAUAAAAUUGGAAAAGGGUUUUACUCUCAUGCUUAUUCCCAUGAAAUUAACUUACUGUGAGGAACCAAAAUCUCUCUACUCCAAAUGCAAACACAGUGAAGACUAUCCUUGGUUAUACAUCUGAGCUGAAUGAUAUAUGAAGAUGUAGCAUUUGAAACAGUGAUGUUGACAGCAUUGCUUUCUAUGGGCACCUAAAAGCAAAUGAUAUUUAAUAUAUGUGGCAGCAAUAAGACAAUCUUAUAUUAACUGUUUUCUUAAUCAAAAAACAUUAUUCUAACUAAAAGUAGCAGUUUCCAUCAUCAGUGAAGAAUUUCUACAUAUAUUAGCAAAUUUUAUUUCAUACUUGAAAGAUGAUGCUCCCUUUUUCAAGUAAUUAUGUUCUUUCAGGAUAUAUAAGCAGUAAUGCAGGUCUAACCCCUUUUUAAAAAUGGAUUCAACACAUUGGAAAAUUAUCACUUAUUCAAUUUUGAUCUUUGCUGGCAUUCUGAAGAAAAAUAUCACAGCAACCAGGUCUCUAACGAUACUAGUAAAGAAAAUAAUACAGUAUAGUCCUUUAAUUAAUGAAGUUAAUUAAUAAAUAAUUUAAAAAGUAAUAUAAGUAUAGUCCUUUAAUUAAAGUGUAAUCAGAUCUUGGGAUUGUACCUCAUUUCUGAUACCCUCUCUGGAUCUUCAGCUUUUCCUUGGUUGAUUGUUGUGUCUUAUUGGCAAGUUAAUGAGCCAUAUGACAGUGUUCUUGUUUUUUUUCAGCAUAAAACUAUUUUUUCUCUUUCAAACAGUUCAGAAUCUGUCAGCACGAAACUAAGAGACCAUUGUGAGAUUUGCCAACAAAUCAUGUGCUGUGUUUUCUUGCUAUUCCCAUUUUUGUGCGCUACAAUAAUGUCCUGUUUACAUCCUGCCAUGUAUCUGUAUGUACUACUGAGCUGAUAAUAAACCCCUUCGUGUUCUGAAGAGGCAUCUGGGAAUACUUACCCUUGUCCACUGAGGGGUUUUUGUGAGUGCCUCUCUGUAUCUCAACUCAUACUCUGUAGGAGUUGCAGGCACAUUCCAUUUUAUUACCAAUUGCUUUGUGAUCUGAUGGGCAUUUAUGUUAGAUGGUGUCAAACACUUCCCUAAAAUGGGGAACAGAUGCCAUCAGUACAAGAGAAGCAGGAAAGCUUUGGACAUUAUAUGUCAAUUGGGUGUGUUUUACCAAAAAUGGAAGUCUUGGCUGAGAAUACUGAACACUAUGAGACUUAAAAAACCUGGAAAUAAACAUUUACUAAAUCCUUAUAGUAUCAACAAAUCAGGGUUGUUCCUCUUUUGUGUAUGCAAUUCUUUUGUGAAUGCUUCUUCUGAUAUCAGGAAAAUCCUUUUUCUAAACAGAUGCUGAGUGAGUCUGAAAGGCAAAAUCAAAAUGUCAAGAGUACCUCUAAUCGUGAGCUGUAGAAGUUUCCAGAACUUCUUAAUGGCUUCCAAUUUCAGCAACUGUGUUUAGCUCUAUAAUUUUUAAUGCAAAUACGUAGUUUUCCCUGUGAAAAUCUCCCAAGGAGGACAUAGCGAUAAUUUGGGUUUUACUGAUAGUGCCUUUCAGCAAUGAGAAGCACUUGUGAAACAUAGUUACUCUGGGAAGGUGAGGAUUUCAGAUGAUCUUGAAGCAUCAUCACUUAACUCAGAGAUGAUGCUUUAGAGAAUCUGUGAGUAGGCAUCUGAAGUGCAUAGUUCAUGUGAUUUAUUUUUUUCACAUGCCCCCUCUAGUACUGUGUAAUAGGUAAGUGGCCUUAGAAAAUGGUUGAAAUUUGAAAAGUUUUCCCAAAAUGUUAACUGUAUGUAGAAAAAAUGCCUUGAAUGUAUGCUGCUGUGUCAGCCUGCUCUUUGUAAACCCAUAAAGAAGUUACAAAAACUAUCAGAGAUUAGAGGAAACUGGUGAAGUAGGGUACACAAGUAUCACUAUAUAGUUUUUUUGAAUGUUGGUAUUUCAAAGUCCAGCAAAUGAUUUACUGUCCUGUUUCCAUAAAGAUGGAUGGUCUUCUGCUAUGGACUUCAAUAAAGAUUUCAUCCCAGGAAGCCAAACUGCAGCACACUGAAUCAGUGAAAAGGAUAAGUGUAUAGCAGAAGUUAAAAUAUUGAAAAUAAUUUUGAAGAAAAUGUUACCAUUGCUUCAGCAGGACACUGUAGUAAUACAAAUCAUGAAGGUAUAAUACCUGCUUUUCUUGGUGUAACUGAGAUGUUCUUUCCUUUCACACAGCUGGCAUGGGCAUAGUUCACUGCUAUCCAAAUAGAAGCAGAACGGUUCAUGAAGAGAUCUUUUCGUUCUAUUGUGAUGGAAGGUGAUGAUGUAUUUCUUUGAAAAAGUUUUGUGAUUCUCUCCCUUCAGAGAAGAGGAACCGGAAUGAAAGCCAAGCUUUUUACUGGUUUAUCAUACACUUUCUUUUUUCCCCAUAAGUAUCAUUGUAACAACUCAUAGCUUUCCAGGUACUCAUAAACAAAGUCAUCAUUUUGAAAACUUGAAGGAGGGAAGGUGGAGGUUUCAGCUUGCUCAAAGUUUAAUGCAUCUGUGGAAGAGAUGGACCAGGAUAAAUUAUGCCAUCUUCAGUGAUAAGCUCAAAAUUGCAGCAAUGGUUAGAAGAGACCACCAUCUUUUCUUCUUCUGUUCAGUUAUUGGUAAAAAGCAAUAUACAGUCAAUAUGUGGACUCCAGUGCUCAUCUGGAUAUGAGAAAUACAUAAAAGACAGACAUUAAAGGUAACAGAAAGUAUCACUGCAAGACAAGGAGAGACUGCAGGCCAUUGAAAAUGCAUCAUCAUAGUUUGUUAGUUACAAAACUGGACUAUUGGCAAGGCAAGAGCUAGGAGAGGUAGGGGCUGGAGGAACAAGGGAGCUUGCCUGAUUGCUGGGGAAAGCAGUCUCUGACAAAGAGUGUCUGAUCAUCUGAGCACCGCCUCACCCAGCGCUGGAGCUUAUCCUCCAAUGGGAGUAAAACAGAUUGGCUCUGAAUGGAGGGAAGCUGAGAUGGUUUUCAAAAGCAGUAUUUCUUUGCUUCUGAAAGAGGGAAGCUAUGGCCUCGUUUGUUUGACCCCACUUGCCGUGGGCAUCACUUCAGCCUUAAGAGAGGCUGGAAAACUAAGUCCAUGCUCAGCCAUUAAUUCAGCUUUCUAAAAGUGAAACAAAGUGAAGAAGCUUUCUCUUAUAGGAGGAAACAGCACUGCAACAGAUAGCAACAUUUUUUUUUCAUUUGUCCCUUCUGCCUUGGGUUCUGAAGUGAAGUGAGGAAGCUUCUGAGUCAUCACCUCCACUCCUAUUGAAGUUGUUUACUUUCCUGUUUGUAAAUUUGUCAGGCUCCAACUUAAAACUGAUUGUUUCUUAUUCACAUUACUCCUUACAGAAAGCUAUUCCAGAACUGUGUGCCUCUGAGACAUAGAUGGAAAAAAGAACUGAAUUUCCAGUUUUCCAUUUUUUAAUGGUUUAGAGGAAGAAUUAUAAAGAAAUAUAACAAUUCACUUUUCUUUCUUUCCAAUAUUCAUUACAAGGGAAUUUGAUCUUGGAAGACACUGCUAUGUUUAUGUCUUUUGAGUGAUUGUGACAGUAGCCCUCCAUACCAUGUUUAAUGACAACUCAGAGCCUUGCAAGACACAACAAAGACAUCUUGUAACUUAAAAGGGAUUUUGACACAAACAUUUCAUUGCAUACCUCAAUAAAGAGGGUCUGGAUUUAAUUUUAUUAUACUACAUUGCAAGUGACAUCACAAAGGCAUAACACAAGAAGCUUCGACAACCCAAAACUUUAUGAGAUGGACUAGUCUUUAAAAAUGUCUCUUUUUAAUCAGUAACAUGGGCAGCUAGUGAAAUGAAAAAUCUGACUUAUAUCUAACAUUUCAUACUGGCUCUUGAUGACUCUGUUCGCUGUUUUCCUCAGUUCCUCCUGAUGUUUCUUGAGUGGUUACCAAAAUACCUAGAAUUUUCCACUGAGUAGGCAACUAUUGGUUUUCAAACCAAGCAUGAUUCAAACAGUGUCCAUGGUUCUGUGUAAGGCAUGAUGAAUGGAAUGGAGUAUCAUCAUCUGGGUCCAAGCCAUGCUAUGAGAGCCACACAUGUUGUUGUACAGCUGGGGCUACUGCUCUCAAGCUAAAGUUGGAAUCAGCAUGUCUCUCUGAGUCCUUCUGCAGUGAUCUCCACUUGGGCAGAUAGAUAGCAGAAAAGCUUGUCCUUCUGCCUCCCCAGUUCAUAAAUUUUCCAAAUAAAACAUGAAUGUAA